GACGAACGCUGGCGGCGUGCUUAACACAUGCAAGUCGAACGGUGAAGCGCCUUCCUUUUUGGUGGGUGUGGAUGAGUGGCGAACGGGUGAGUAACACGUGAGUAACCUGCCCCCUUCUUCUGGAUAACCGCAUGAAAGUGUGGCUAAUACGGGAUAUUCUGGGUCUGUCGCAUGAUGGGUUUGGGAAAGAUAUUGUUUCGGUGGGGGAUGGGCUCGCGGCCUAUCAGCUUGUUGGUGGGGUGAUGGCCUACCAAGGCGGUGACGGGUAGCCGGCCUGAGAGGGUGGACGGUCACACUGGGACUGAGACACGGCCCAGACUCCUACGGGAGGCAGCAGUGGGGAAUAUUGCACAAUGGGCGCAAGCCUGAUGCAGCGACGCCGCGUGAGGGAUGGAGGCCUUCGGGUUGUGAACCUCUUUCGCCAGUGAAGCAGGCCUGCCUCGUUUGUGGGUGGGUUGACGGUAGCUGGAUAAGAAGCGCCGGCUAACUACGUG
This 494-nucleotide ribosomal RNA is filed under the name uncultured bacterium. Its description in RNAcentral is "partial 16S ribosomal RNA". It matches the Rfam family "Bacterial small subunit ribosomal RNA", at positions 28 to 507 of the family's 1533-position model. The record is from RNAcentral.